RNAcentral lists this ribosomal RNA (497 nucleotides) under uncultured bacterium. RNAcentral's name for it is "partial 16S ribosomal RNA". It matches the Rfam family "Bacterial small subunit ribosomal RNA", at positions 28 to 507 of the family's 1533-position model. The record is from RNAcentral.
GAUGAACGCUGGCGGCGUGCCUAAUACAUGCAAGUCGAGCGAACGGACGAGAAGCUUGCUUCUCUGAUGUUAGCGGCGGACGGGUGAGUAACACGUGGAUAACCUACCUAUAAGACUGGGAUAACUUCGGGAAACCGGAGCUAAUACCGGAUAAUAUUUUGAACCGCAUGGUUCAAAAGUGAAAGACGGUCUUGCUGUCACUUAUAGAUGGAUCCGCGCUGCAUUAGCUAGUUGGUAAGGUCACGGCUUACCAAGGCAACGAUGCAUAGCCGACCUGAGAGGGUGAUCGGCCACACGGGAACUGAGACACGGUCCAGACUCCUACGGGACGGAGCAGUAGGGAAUCUUCCGCAAUGGGCGAAAGCCUUACGGAGCAACGCCGCGUGAGUGACGAAGGUCUUCGGAUCGUAAAACUCUGUUAUGAGUGAAGAACAGAUGUGUAAGUAACUGUGCACAUCGUGACGGUACCUAAUCAGAAAGCCACGGCUAACUACGUG